This 470-nucleotide ribosomal RNA is filed under the name uncultured bacterium. RNAcentral describes it as "partial 16S ribosomal RNA". It matches the Rfam family "Bacterial small subunit ribosomal RNA", at positions 28 to 523 of the family's 1533-position model. The record is from RNAcentral.
GACGAACGCUGGCGGCGUGCUUAACACAUGCAAGUCGAACGGGAGUAUCGAAGAAGCUUGCUUUAGAGAUACUUUAGUGGCGGACGGGUGAGUAACGCGUGAGGAGCUGUCCUAUGCAGGGGGACAACAGUUGGAAACGACUGCUAAUACCCCAUAAGCCGAGAGGUAAAAGGAUUUAUCCGGCAGAGGAGGUACUCGCGUCCUAUCAGCUAGUAGGUGAGGUAACGGCUCACCUAGGCGAAGACGGGUAGCCGGCCUGAGAGGGCGAACGGCCACACUGGAACUGAGAUACGGUCCAGACUCCUACGGGAAGCAGCAGUGGGGAAUAUUGGACAAUGGGGGCAACCCUGAUCCAGCCAUGCCGCGUGAGUGAUGAAGGCCUUAGGGUUGUAAAGCUCUUUCACCGGGGAAGAUAAUGACGGUACCCGGAGAAGAAGCCCCGGCUAACUUCGUGCCAGCCGCCGCAGUAA